RNAcentral lists this ribosomal RNA (253 nucleotides) under uncultured bacterium. Its description in RNAcentral is "partial 16S ribosomal RNA". It matches the Rfam family "Bacterial small subunit ribosomal RNA", at positions 524 to 776 of the family's 1533-position model. The record is from RNAcentral.
UACGUAGGGGGCCAGCGUUGUCCGGAAUCAUUGGGCGUAAAGCGCGCGUAGGCGGCCAGAUAAGUCCGGUGUGAAAGUCACAGGCUCAACCUGUGAAUGCCGCUGGAAACUGUCUGGCUAGAGUCCGGGAGGGGCGAGUGGAAUUCCUGGUGUAGCGGUGAAAUGCGUAGAUAUCAGGAGGAACACCGGCGGUGUAGACGGCUUGCUAGACCAUAACUGACGCUGAGGCACGAAAGCGUGGGUAGCAAACAGG